RNAcentral lists this microRNA (22 nucleotides) under Pristionchus pacificus. RNAcentral's name for it is "ppc-miR-8284-5p". The record is from miRBase by way of RNAcentral. Lineage: Eukaryota; Metazoa; Nematoda; Chromadorea; Rhabditida; Neodiplogasteridae.
CGUGAAUGCGCUGUAUGUAAGG